This 71-nucleotide transfer RNA is filed under the name Acanthosepion aculeatum. RNAcentral describes it as "tRNA-Lys". Lineage: Eukaryota; Metazoa; Mollusca; Cephalopoda; Sepiida; Sepiidae. The record is from RNAcentral.
AUUAUUAAGUGGCCGAACUUUAAGCACUAGAUUUUUAAUCUAGAACAUGAUUAUGUUUUAAUCCUUAAUGG